This 88-nucleotide transfer RNA is filed under the name Deltaproteobacteria bacterium RIFCSPHIGHO2_01_FULL_43_49. RNAcentral's name for it is "tRNA-Ser". It matches the Rfam family "tRNA". Rfam says of the family: Transfer RNA (tRNA) molecules are approximately 80 nucleotides in length. RNAcentral also lists the same sequence under 6 other names. The record is from RNAcentral. Lineage: Bacteria; Deltaproteobacteria.
GGAAGGGUGGCCGAGGUGGUUGAAGGCGUCGGUCUCGAAAACCGAUAUACCCUUACGGGUAUCGAGAGUUCGAAUCUCUCCCCUUCCG